RNAcentral lists this microRNA precursor (166 nucleotides) under Triticum aestivum (bread wheat). RNAcentral describes it as "MIR2118 microRNA precursor family". It matches the Rfam family "MIR2118 microRNA precursor family". Lineage: Eukaryota; Viridiplantae; Streptophyta; Magnoliopsida; Poales; Poaceae. The record is from Rfam by way of RNAcentral.
GCCGGGAAGAGGAAUAAAGGGAGCAUGUAAGAUCAGUGGGAAUAGGAAUAUUGAGGGGAUCCUAUAGCUCAAUUUGUUUUCCUAUAUUGGAGGUAACAAGCUUUGUGUUUCCCUAGUGCCUCAUAUUCCUAUUGUUAUUAGGUACUACUUCCUCUUCCUUUUGGCU